GGCUCAGAGGUUAAGAACACUGA
RNAcentral lists this non-coding RNA (23 nucleotides) under Cricetulus griseus (Chinese hamster). Lineage: Eukaryota; Metazoa; Chordata; Mammalia; Rodentia; Cricetidae. The record is from RNAcentral.